Molecule: ribosomal RNA, 497 nt
Filed under: uncultured bacterium
Lineage: Bacteria
Description: partial 16S ribosomal RNA
Rfam family: Bacterial small subunit ribosomal RNA
Source: RNAcentral
GAUGAACGCUGGCGGCGUGCCUAAUACAUGCAAGUAGAACGCUGAAGGAAGGAGCUUGCUCUUUCCGGAUGAGUUGCGAACGGGUGAGUAACGCGUAGGUAACCUGCCUGGUAGCGGGGGAUAACUAUUGGAAACGAUAGCUAAUACCGCAUAACAGUAGAUGUUGCAUGAUAUCUACUUAAAAGGUGCAAUUGCACCACUACCAGAUGGACCUGCGUUGUAUUAGCUAGUUGGUGAGGUAACGGCUCACCAAGGCGACGAUACAUAGCCGACCUGAGAGGGUGAUCAGCCACACUGGGACUGAGACACGGCCCAGACUCCUACGGGAGGCAGCAGUAGGGAAUCUUCGGCAAUGGACGGAAGUCUGACCGAGCAACGCCGCGUGAGUGAAGAAGGGUUUCGGAUCGUAAAGCUCUGUUGUAAGAGAAGAACGAGUGUGAGAGUGGAAAGUUCACAAUGUGACGGUAUCUUACCAGAAAGGGACGGCUAACUACGUG